This is a non-coding RNA of Paramuricea clavata, 143 nucleotides long. Lineage: Eukaryota; Metazoa; Cnidaria; Anthozoa; Malacalcyonacea; Plexauridae. The record is from the annotation of a GenBank genome assembly.
CAGAUUUGUUGCAAGGUUGUUCCAAUAAGUCCGAUACAGUCAUGAUAUAACAAUAUUGUUACAACCUUGUGUUGUCAAACUUGUAACAUUCUUGUUAUAUCAUGACUGUAUCAGACUUGUUAGAACAACCUUGUAACAUUCUU